GAAAACUUGAUGGUUUGCACAUCCAUACCUCUACCAAGAAGCUUUUGACCACAGUAUCUUUCCAGUUUAGCUUUUGCUGCUCAAUUCCUUCAUUUGGGCAAGCAUUGCUUCGUUUGGACUCAGCAACUACGAUGAGACCAUCUAGCUGCAGGAAAGCAAGCACAGUGUUCUCACUGACUCUACAUUAUGGUUGAACUCUGGCUCAAAUAUGUCUGAAGUGUCAAUGGAAAAUUGAGCCUCGCCAUUCUCAUCUGUAGUGUAAUUUCCUAUAAAUUCAUCAUUGAGCUCCAGUUGCAACAACUUGUUCACCAGAGGUACAUUAUCGG
Long non-coding RNA from Callithrix jacchus (white-tufted-ear marmoset), 326 nucleotides. RefSeq lists it as uncharacterized. The record is from RefSeq and is a predicted model, not a curated record. Lineage: Eukaryota; Metazoa; Chordata; Mammalia; Primates; Cebidae.